UUCGAUUUUUCGACAACCUCAGCCGGCCUCCCGGACGGAUGUGAGGAUUCCGACUUCAUCAGUUCUCGGAAUUUGGGCUUCGACGUUAUCAAAUGCAGUUCGAUCAAGUGUAGUAAUGAAGAACAAACGGAGAAAUGAAGAACAGAUGGAGAAGAAGACGGAGACCGUUAGUCAACGUCAAGACACAAAGGGAAUUGGAGCUUAAAUGAAACGAUGCGUUUUGUAUUCCGUUUAUCUUCAAUAUGGCUGUAUUAAAACGGGACACGUGUUUACCCGCGUUUUACCUUUCAGUUUUUACUGUUUUUGGUUACCGUUGAGUUUACUAUAUAAACUCAACCAAACUCAGUGAAUCGGUUAAUGGUUUUCAGACCUUUCAUCCAUAUCCAUUUCUUCUCUGCAUUUCUUCCUUCUUCUUCUUCCUUCUCUGCUCUCUCAUCGUUCCUCCGAUCAUUCUGAUAGAGUAUCAGAGCUAUCCUUACUACUUAAAUCCUAAUGAGAAUCUAUCACAAUCUAUAGUCAAUACUGUACUGGAUGGUUCAAAUUAUCAAAUGUGGAGCAGAUCUGUGAGAUUUGCGUUGAAAACUAAACACAAGGUUGGUUUUAUUGAUGGAUCUAUAGUUCCUCCUCCUCCUGCUAGUGAUAGAUAUCCUCUAUGGGAUGCUUGCAACACUAUGGUACUCUGCUGGAUCUCAAACUCACUGCAUCCAGAGAUACGUAGAAGCAUAUUGAAUCAUGAAAAUGCUCAAAUACUGUGGCAAGAGUUGAAACGUAGAUUUGGUCAGGCGAAUGCAUUGAAAAUGGCUAAUCUACAAGAUGAAAUUCAUGGUUGCAAGCAGGCUCAAAUGUCAGUUACACAGUAUUACACAGUCAUUAAAGGACUCUGGGAGGAAUAUAGUCAGUUCUCUCCUAUUGUUCCUUGUAGUUGUGCACCAGCCAGUGUACUUCCUUGUGCAGCAGUAGUGGCUUUUCAGGAGAAGCAAGACACGGAUUAUCUGAUCCGUUUUCUUAGAGGCUUGAAUGAGGACUUUGAUGUAGUAAGAACUCAGCUGUUAAUGAUGACACCCUUGCCAUCGAUCAGUUCAGCUUAUGAUACAGCAUUACAGCAUGAAGAAAAGAUAAAAGGUGGCAUGAUGAUAGGAAAGGAUAAUUCAGCUCAAAAUGUAGCAUUUGCUGUACCAUCGGAAGUUGAUGGAAAGUAUGCUAUGGCUGCAAGUACUGGAAAUUCAAGAGAUUACACUUCAGCUGGAAAGAAAUUUUGUAGAUAUUGUAAGAAGGAAGGCCACAUACUCGAUGAAUGUAGAAGGUUGAAAUGGAAGAAGCAGCAGGAACAGAAUGCUCAAAACUCUAGUCCAGUUCCACAAAGUCAUUUUGCUGGAGCAGUGGAUCAGCAACAAGUCCCUACAGUAGCUGCUGCUCUUUCUCUAACCAAUGCUGAAUUGACUCAGUUGAAGCAGCUCUUACAAGCAGUCCAGCAGUCUAAAUCCACAGUCUCAGGAUCAGGAAUUCCAAAUCUUCCAAACGAUUCAGGUAAGUUUACUUUGUCUGCUGGAUCAUGUCCUGAUUUAGCUAACUUGUGGAUUCUAGAUACUGGAGCUUCUGACCAUAUAACCUGUUCCAUUAAACACUUUCUGUCCUAUAAGUCUGUCAUAGGAGUCAACGUUUACCUUCCUGAUUCUUCUCCCAUGUCUAUCAGCCAUGUUGGCACUGUCCAACUUCCUCAUGGUCUUAUCAUUCAUAACGUUUUAUGCGUUCCCAAAUUUCACUUCAAUCUGAUCUCUGUGAGUAAGCUAACUUCUCAUCUUCCUGUUUCCCUGAUCUUCCAAUCCAACAAAUGCCAGCUACAAGACCUCACCACAGGCAGGAUGAUUGGUUUAGCCAUUCAGACUAGAGGGCUAUACCACCUCCAACCUCCUGAUAAACAGUUUUCACCACAGUCUUCUCAAUCCAUACCACACAAAUCUCAAGUAGCAGUUAGUCACAAUUACCAACCAGAAGAAAUCAGCCUCUGGCAUUGGAGAAUGGGGCAUCCCAGUUCUGAAAAACUGAAGAUUCUACACAAUCAUAAUCAUUAAUCAUAAUCAUAGCAUAGUCCCUGAAAACUUGACACAUUGCUCGAUCUGUCACUAUUCCAAACACAAACGUCUUCCUUUUCAUAGCAGUCAGACCACUGUCACUGCAGUUUUCGAUCUAAUACAUGUUGAUAUUUGGGGUCCUUUGUCCACUGAAUCACAUGAUAGAUUUCUGUAUUUUCUCACUAUUGUUGAUGACUAUUCUAGAGGGGUUUGGGUUUAUUUGAUGAAGUAUAAGUCAGAGGCAAGACCCUUAUUGCAAUCUUUCUGUAAUAUGGUCUGCACUCAGUUUAAAACCAAAGUUAAAAUGAUAAGAAGUGACCAAGGAAAAGAGUUCCACAUGACUGAUUUUUACUCAGAACAUGGAAUUAUUCAUCAAAUGUCAUGUGUUCAAACUCCUUAACAAAAUUCCAAAGUUGAACGCAAGCAUCAACACAUUCUAAAUGUAGCGAGAGCCUUACAGUUUCAAUCUGGACUACCUCUAGUCUAUUGGAGUGAUUUUGUUCUUCAUUCCGUUUAUCUCAUAAAUAGGACUCCUUCUUCUGCCAUUCAAAACAAAACUCCUUUUGAGAUACUGUAUAAUCAUCCACCAAAUCUUAAUCAUGUCAGGGUCUUUGGCUGUUUAGCAUAUGCAGCAACUCUAUCUCACAAUCGAGGUAAGUUUCAUCCUCGUGCUAGGCAAAGUGUGCUUAUCGGUAUUCCUGCUAACAUAAAAGGAUAUAAAUUGCUUGAUCUAGCAUCCACUGAAGUCUAUGUUUCCAGGGAUGUAGUCUUUUAUGAGAACAUCUUUCCUUUUAAGUCCAAUUCUGUUUCUUCUACUUCCCCUCUUGAGUCAGAAAUUCUAGAUCCUACUGCAGUGAACAUAGAGGUUCCAGUAACUCCUCCUAUCCAACCGGGUUCCAGUAGCUCCACCUAUACAACCAUCUAAUCCACAUAGCCCUAGCUCUUCCCAAAAUUCAGUGUCAGUAGCUCCAGGAACUGAUCCACCUGUUACUAAUCACUCAUCCCAGUUGCAGGGUUCACUUUCUGAUAGUGAGGAUGAUAUGGAACUUUCGGAUCCUGAGAUUCAUCCAGCAGGGGAGGGACAGCAGCCUGAUCUGCUGGAUGUCAGGACCUCUACUAGGACAAGACGUCCACCUAUACACUUACAAGACUAUCACUUGGAUGCCAGUGUUACCAAACACUCUCUUGCAUCAGUGCUGUCAUAUGAUAGUCUUUCUGAUCAUUUUAAGCGUUUUGCGUUGAAUGUUAUUGUACAGCAGGAACCAAAGAAUUACAAAGAAGCAAUGAAGGAUCCUCACUGGAAUGUAGCAGUUCAAAAUGAACUUGGUGCCCUUAAUGAGAACCACACUUGGGAUGUUGUACCAGACUCGGAUAAAUUUCAUAAACUGGGAACAAAGUGGGUGUUCAAACUUAAAUUGAAGUCUGAUGGAAGUGUGGAGCGACACAAGGCAAGGCUAGUGGCACAGGGUUUUGACCAAAUACAGGGUGUUGAUUUUGUAGACACAUUCUCACCAGUGGCCAAAAUCAAUACAGUGAAAGCUUUAUUAGCAAUAGCAGCAGCUCAGGAUUUGUUUCUGGAACAAAUGGAUGUGUCUAAUGCUUUUCUGCAUGGAGAUCUAAAUGAAGAAGUCUACUUAAGGAUUCCAGCUGGGUUGGAUGCACCACCAGGUACAUGCCUGAAGCUUAGAAAGUCUCUUUAUGGUCUAAAGCAAGCUAGCAGACAGUGGUUUGCUAAGCUCACAAAUGCAUUACUGAGGUAUGGAUUUCAACAUACUAGUUCAGACUAUUCGUUAUUUGUUAAAGAUUCUGGACGAUCACAAGUCAUACUGUUGGUCUAUGUGGAUGAUAUAAUAUUAGCUGGAAAGGAUAUUGAUUUGAUUAAGACGGUAAAAUGCUAUUUGCAUCAGCAAUUCAAAAUUAAAGAUUUGGGGGAGUUGAAGUAUUUUCUGGGACUUGAGAUUGCUAGAUCAAGACAUGGAAUAGUGAUGAAUCAAAGGAAGUAUUGUGUAGAAUUGUUAACAGAUACAGGUUUCUUAGAAGCCAAAGGGAGUAAGAGUCCUAUGGAUGUUAAUUUGAGAUUGAGUGCAGAACAAGGAGAAUCAAUGGAGGAUCCAUCUACAUAUAGGACACUGGUUGGAAGGUUACACUAUCUAACAAUUACAAGACCAGAUAUUACAUUCGCUGUGCAACAGCUCAGUCAAUUCCAAAAUCAACCAUGUAAAGCACAUUUGGAGGCAGCUCAUCGAGUGUUAAGGUACUUGAAGUCUUCACCAGCACAAGGUUUAAUAUAUAAGUCUUCAAACAACUUGUGCUUAACCGGAUACUGUGACUCAGACUGGGCAGCGUGUCCAGACACCAGGAAAUCAAUUUCUGGUUACUGCACAUAUCUAGGUAACUCAUUGAUUACUUGGAGAUCCAAGAAACAAGGUACUGUAUCGAGAUCAUCUUCAGAAGCAGAAUACAGGGCAAUAGCACACUUGGUGUGUGAGCUGCAAUGGAUGUCAGAAUUGGUUAAGGAAUUGGGGAUUCAAGUGCCUAUGCCUAUGGAAGUUCAUUGUGAUAACAAGUCUGCAAUACAUAUAGCAGAAAAUCCUGUGUUCCAUGAGCGAACCAAACAUAUUGAGAUUGAUUGUCAUGUUACACGAGAAAGAAUCAAGUCUGGGAUGAUAGUGCUGAAACAUAUUGGGACAAAUGAUCAGCCUGCAGAUCUUUUUACUAAGGCACUUCAUCGAACUCGCUUGCAGCAGUUAUUGAGCAAGUUGGGAGUACAUGAUAUAUACUCUCCAACUUGUGGGAGGGUAUCAAAUGCAGUUCGAUCAAGUGUAGUGAUGAAGAACAAACGGAGAAAUGAAGAACAGAUGGAGAAGAAGACGGAGACCGUUAGUCAACGUCAAGACACAAAGGGAAUUGGAGCUUAAAUGAAACGAUGCGUUUUGUAUUCCGUUUAUCUUCAAUAUGGUUGUAUUAAAACGGGACACGUGUUUACCCGCGUUUUACCUUUCAGUUUUUACUGUUUUUGGUUACCGUUGAGUUUACUAUAUAAACUCAACCAAACUCAGUGAAUCGGUUACAGACCUUUCAUCCAUAUCCAUUUCUUCUCUGCAUUUCUUCCUUCUUCUUCUUCCUUCUCUGCUCUCUCAUCGUUCCUCCGAUCAUUCUGAUAGACGUCAUCGUCAACUUCCUCAAGGCGACGUUCAUGCUACAGAACCAGUUCGAAGACCUAAUCGCAAAAACACGACCCGACUGCAUCAUCUCCGACGCCUUCUUUCCCUGGACCACCGCUUCCGCCGCGAAGUUCGGCAUCCCACGGCUCGUCUUCCGAGGUACCAGCUUCUUCUCCUCAUGCGUUUCGGAAUUCAUCACGAU
Molecule: long non-coding RNA, 5438 nt
Filed under: Linum usitatissimum (flax)
Lineage: Eukaryota; Viridiplantae; Streptophyta; Magnoliopsida; Malpighiales; Linaceae
Description: long non-coding RNA (LUSI_LNC002886)
Source: RNAcentral